UACGGGGGGGGCAAGCGUUGUUCGGAAUUACUGGGCGUAAAGGGCUCGUAGGUGGCCAACUAAGUCAGACGUGAAAUCCCUCGGCUUAACCGGGGAACUGCGUCUGAUACUGGAUGGCUUGAGUUCGGGAGAGGGAUGCGGAAUUCCAGGUGUAGCGGUGAAAUGCGUAGAUAUCAGGAGGAACACCGAUGGCGAAGGCAGGUCUCUGGGCCAUAACUGACGCUGAGAAGCGAAAGCAUGGGGAGCGAACAGG
Molecule: ribosomal RNA, 253 nt
Filed under: uncultured bacterium
Lineage: Bacteria
Description: partial 16S ribosomal RNA
Rfam family: Bacterial small subunit ribosomal RNA
Source: RNAcentral